Molecule: ribosomal RNA, 176 nt
Filed under: Bacillus sp. (in: firmicutes)
Lineage: Bacteria; Bacillati; Bacillota; Bacilli; Caryophanales; Bacillaceae
Description: Bacillus sp. (in: Bacteria) partial 16S ribosomal RNA
Rfam family: Bacterial small subunit ribosomal RNA
Source: RNAcentral
CCGCGAGGUGGAGCUAAUCUCAUAAAACCGUUCUCAGUUCGGAUUGUAGGCUGCAACUCGCCUACAUGAAGCUGGAAUCGCUAGUAAUCGCGGAUCAGCAUGCCGCGGUGAAUACGUUCCCGGGCCUUGUACACACCGCCCGUCACACCACGAGAGUUUGUAACACCCGAAGUCGG